GCGCUCGUAGCUUAAUUGGAUAGAGCACCUGACUACGGAUCAGGAGGUUCGGGGUUCAAAUCCCUGCGAGCGCGCCA
RNAcentral lists this transfer RNA (77 nucleotides) under Candidatus Margulisiibacteriota bacterium. RNAcentral describes it as "tRNA-Arg". It matches the Rfam family "tRNA". Rfam says of the family: Transfer RNA (tRNA) molecules are approximately 80 nucleotides in length. Their secondary structure includes four short double-helical elements and three loops (D, anti-codon, and T loops). The record is from RNAcentral. Lineage: Bacteria; Bacillati; Candidatus Margulisiibacteriota.